AUAAUGGGUCAGCGACUUAUAUUCUGUAGCAAGGUUAACCGAAUAGGGGAGCCGAAGGGAAACCGAGUCUUAACUGGGCGUUAAGUUGCAGGGUAUAGACCCGAAACCCGGUGAUCUAGCCAUGGGCAGGUUGAAGGUUGGGUAACACUAACUGGAGGACCGAACCGACUAAUGUUGAAAAAUUAGCGGAUGACUUGUGGCUGGGGGUGAAAGGCCAAUCAAACCGGGAGAUAGCUGGUUCUCCCCGAAAGCUAUUUAGGUAGCGCCUCGUGAAUUCAUCUCCGGGGGUAGAGCACUGUUUCGGCAAGGGGGUCAUCCCGACUUACCAACCCGAUGCAAACUGCGAAUACCGGAGAAUGUUAUCACGGGAGACACACGGCGGGUGCUAACGUCCGUCGUGAAGAGGGAAACAACCCAGACCGCCAGCUAAGGUCCCAAAGUCAUGGUUAAGUGGGAAACGAUGUGGGAAGGCCCAGACAGCCAGGAUGUUGGCUUAGAAGCAGCCAUCAUUUAAAGAAAGCGUAAUAGCUCACUGGUCGAGUCGGCCUGCGCGGAAGAUGUAACGGGGCUAAACCAUGCACCGAAGCUGCGGCAGCGACGCUGAUGCGUUGUUGGGUAGGGGAGCGUUCUGUAAGCCUGUGAAGGUGUGCUGUGAGGCAUGCUGGAGGUAUCAGAAGUGCGAAUGCUGACAUAAGUAACGAUAAAGCGGGUGAAAAGCCCGCUCGCCGGAAGACCAAGGGUUCCUGUCCAACGUUAAUCGGGGCAGGGUGAGUCGACCCCUAAGGCGAGGCCGAAAGGCGUAGUCGAUGGGAAACAGGUUAAUAUUCCUGUACUUGGUGUUACUGCGAAGGGGGGACGGAGAAGGCUAUGUUGGCCGGGCGACGGUUGUCCCGGUUUAAGCGUGUAGGCUGGUUUUCCAGGCAAAUCCGGAAAAUCAAGGCUGAGGCGUGAUGACGAGGCACUACGGUGCUGAAGCAACAAAUGCCCUGCUUCCAGGAAAAGCCUCUAAGCAUCAGGUAACAUCAAAUCGUACCCCAAACCGACACAGGUGGUCAGGUAGAGAAUACCAAGGCGCUUGAGAGAACUCGGGUGAAGGAACUAGGCAAAAUGGUGCCGUAACUUCGGGAGAAGGCACGCUGAUAUGUAGGUGAAGUCCCUCGCGGAUGGAGCUGAAAUCAGUCGAAGAUACCAGCUGGCUGCAACUGUUUAUUAAAAACACAGCACUGUGCAAACACGAAAGUGGACGUAUACGGUGUGACGCCUGCCCGGUGCCGGAAGGUUAAUUGAUGGGGUCAGCGCAAGCGAAGCUCUUGAUCGAAGCCCCGGUAAACGGCGGCCGUAACUAUAACGGUCCUAAGGUAGCGAAAUUCCUUGUCGGGUAAGUUCCGACCUGCACGAAUGGCGUAAUGAUGGCCAGGCUGUCUCCACCCGAGACUCAGUGAAAUUGAACUCGCUGUGAAGAUGCAGUGUACCCGCGGCAAGACGGAAAGACCCCGUGAACCUUUACUAUAGCUUGACACUGAACAUUGAGCCUUGAUGUGUAGGAUAGGUGGGAGGCUUUGAAGUGUGGACGCCAGUCUGCAUGGAGCCGGCCUUGAAAUACCACCCUUUAAUGUUUGAUGUUCUAACGUUGACCCGUGAUCCGGGUUGCGGACAGUGUCUGGUGGGUAGUUUGACUGGGGCGGUCUCCUCCUAAAGAGUAACGGAGGAGCACGAAGGUUGGCUAAUCCUGGUCGGACAUCAGGAGGUUAGUGCAAUGGCAUAAGCCAGCUUGACUGCGAGCGUGACGGCGCGAGCAGGUGCGAAAGCAGGUCAUAGUGAUCCGGUGGUUCUGAAUGGAAGGGCCAUCGCUCAACGGAUAAAAGGUACUCCGGGGAUAACAGGCUGAUACCGCCCAAGAGUUCAUAUCGACGGCGGUGUUUGGCA
Molecule: ribosomal RNA, 1926 nt
Filed under: Escherichia coli
Lineage: Bacteria; Pseudomonadati; Pseudomonadota; Gammaproteobacteria; Enterobacterales; Enterobacteriaceae
Description: partial 23S ribosomal RNA
Rfam family: Bacterial large subunit ribosomal RNA
Source: RNAcentral